GUCUCAUCUUGCUGUCACAACAGAAAACAAGUCUUCACCAUCUACUGUGUGAGUUCCAUCAGGUAUAUAAUGUCCCAUUCGACAUUUAAUACUGUUAUUUCUUAAAAUAUAAAAUAUGAAAAUAUUUGCAGCAAGGGAAAAGGACCUGAGCAUUUCAGAUGUACUUGUGCAAUAAAAAUCUGUUUAGGAACAUGUGUACUUAUUAAAUAUUGAGUUAAAUGUUGAUAUAAAAUCUCCCUGCCUUUUCUCCAUCCUUCCUACUCUGCUGCAUUUCCUCAAACAAUUUCGACAUAUUAUUCAUGUUUUGGAAAUUGUAUUCUAAUCUUUCAAUUGUCAUUGUUCAAGGUUGUUUAUUAGUUAGUCAUCAAUACCAAACCUUCCAAUUUCAUUCACUACAUUAGCUACAGUGAAAUGCAAACCCGUUUCUGACAUGUGUAGUAGGAAGUAGGAAGCUGACAUAAAUUGUGCCUGUUUGAUGAAACAGAGCUGGGAAAGGUUUCUUGGGCUAUAGUGCCUAGGAGACUGUGAAAACUAUAGUCCAAAAACAGUGUCUAAACUCUGAUCUGGAGGCCUUGGGAAAUUGUUCGAUUCGUGUCUGUGUGUUCUAAAAAUGACAAUUUUCCAAAAGGCUUCCAAACCUCUAUGGACUAAUACAGUGAACUUCCACAGAUCUAGAGUACAUUGGCUUGAAAUUGUUAGGUUGAUUGAUAAAAAUUCACCAUGAACUGAUCUGAUGUACAAAUCAUCCUGCCUCAGUGCUCACUAAAUAUUUUUAAUGUAAAUGUCUCUUUUCUUAGAUUUAUGCAAUCAUUUAUAUCUUUAUUCUUGAAGUAGAUGGUGGAUCUAGUGAAAGACCAAAUAAUUAUCCUGCUUUCUCAUUUAAUAAUGCCUACGUUGACCUGAAAAGAGACCUAGGUUUUCUGUGAUGGACUCUUCUAGAUGGCUAACCCUGAGGAGAAACUUGGCUCAUAUCUUCCCAGGCUUCUUUUUACAUCCCACAGCCAUCUCCUUCUCUAGUCUGAGUUUUUCUGUCUCUGCAAAGGGCUCAACGCUAGCCUCUCCCACGUGGAAUGCCCCCACAAGAUGCAAGCUGAGGAUGUGACCUAUUUGAAGGAGAGAAGGAGAAACCAAGCUUGCAUUAAAUUCUAAGCUUUGGUCAUGCUUAAAAUUAGGGUGUGACUUUCACUUUCUGUUCUUCAUAGCAAAGUUUACCCAAAAACAUCUGUUAUGAAAGACAAAAUUUAAAGUUGCAAUAAAAGCAUUUAUUUGUUUCCA
This 1275-nucleotide long non-coding RNA is filed under the name Pogona vitticeps (central bearded dragon). RNAcentral's name for it is "lncRNA (ENSPVIG00000011590.1)". The record is from RNAcentral. Lineage: Eukaryota; Metazoa; Chordata; Lepidosauria; Squamata; Agamidae.